GUAGUAGCCAAGUGGUAAGGCAGUGGACUCUGAAUCCAUAAUUCAUAGGUUCGAAUCCUAUCUA
RNAcentral lists this transfer RNA (64 nucleotides) under insect gut metagenome. It matches the Rfam family "tRNA", at positions 5 to 66 of the family's 71-position model. From Rfam's summary of the family: Transfer RNA (tRNA) molecules are approximately 80 nucleotides in length. Their secondary structure includes four short double-helical elements and three loops (D, anti-codon, and T loops). Further hydrogen bonds mediate the characteristic L-shaped molecular structure. tRNAs have two regions of fundamental functional importance: the anti-codon, which is responsible for specific mRNA codon recognition, and the 3' end, to which the tRNAs corresponding amino acid is attached (by aminoacyl-tRNA synthetases). tRNAs cope with the degeneracy of the genetic code in two manners: having more than one tRNA (with a specific anti-codon) for a particular amino acid; and 'wobble' base-pairing, i.e. permitting non-standard base-pairing at the 3rd anti-codon position. The record is from RNAcentral.